UAGGGAAUCUUCGGCAAUGGACGAAAGUCUGACCGAGCAACGCCGCGUGAGUGAAGAAGGUUUUCGGAUCGUAAAACUCUGUUGUUAGAGAAGAACAAGGACGUUAGUAACUGAACGUCCCCUGACGGUAUCUAACCAGAAAGCCACGGCUAACUACGUGCCAGCAGCCGCGGUAAUACGUAGGUGGCAAGCGUUGUCCGGAUUUAUUGGGCGUAAAGCGAGCGCAGGCGGUUUCUUAAGUCUGAUGUGAAAGCCCCCGGCUCAACCGGGGAGGGUCAUUGGAAACUGAGAGACUUGAGUGCAGAAGAGGAGAGUGGAAUUCCAUGUGUAGCGGUGAAAUGCGUAGAUAUAUGGAGGAACACCAGUGGCGAGGGCGGCUCUCUGGUCUGUAACUGACGCUGAGGCUCGAAAGCGUGGGGAGCAAACAGG
This 429-nucleotide ribosomal RNA is filed under the name Gemmatimonadota bacterium. Its description in RNAcentral is "Gemmatimonadetes bacterium partial 16S ribosomal RNA". It matches the Rfam family "Bacterial small subunit ribosomal RNA", at positions 355 to 776 of the family's 1533-position model. Lineage: Bacteria; Pseudomonadati; Gemmatimonadota. The record is from RNAcentral.